RNAcentral lists this ribosomal RNA (496 nucleotides) under uncultured bacterium. Its description in RNAcentral is "partial 16S ribosomal RNA". It matches the Rfam family "Bacterial small subunit ribosomal RNA", at positions 29 to 507 of the family's 1533-position model. The record is from RNAcentral.
AUGCACGCUGGCGGCGUGCCUAAUACAUGCAAGUCGAGCGAACGGACGAGAAGCUUGCUUCUCUGAUGUUAGCGGCGGACGGGUGAGUAACACGUGGAUAACCUACCUAUAAGACUGGGAUAACUUCGGGAAACCGUAGCUAAUACCGGAUAAUAUUUUGAACCGCAUGGUUCAAAAGUGAAAGACGGUCUUGCUGUCACUUAUAGAUGGAUCCGCGCUGCAUUAGCUAGUUGGUAAGGUAACGGCUUACCAAGGCAACGAUGCAUAGCCGACCUGAGAGGGUGAUCGGCCACACUGGAACUGAGACACGGUCCAGACUCCUACGGGAGGCAGCAGUAGGGAAUCUUCCGCAAUGGGCGAAAGCCUGACGGAGCAACGACGCGUGAGUGAUGAAGGUCUUCGGAUCGUAAAACUCUGUUAUUAGGGAAGAACAUAUGUGUAAGUAACUGUGCACAUCUUGACGGUACCUAAUCAGAAAGCCACGGCUAACUACGUG